GAUGAACGCUGGCGGCGUGCCUAAUACAUGCAAGUCGAGCGAACAGACGAGGAGCUUACUCCUCUGACGUUAGCGGCGGACGGGUGGGUAACACGUGGAUAACCUACCUAUAAGACUGGGAUAACUUCGGGAAACCGGAGCUAAUACCGGAUAACAUGUUGAACCGCAUGGUUCAACAGUGAAAGACGGUCUUGCUGUCACUUAUAGAUGGAUCCGCGUCGCAUUAGCUAGUUGGUAAGGUAACGGCUUACCAAGGCAACGAUGCGUAGCCGACCUGAGAGGGUGAUCGGCCACACUGGAACUGAGACACGGUCCAGACUCCUACGGGAGGCAGCAGUAGGGAAUCUUCCGCAAUGGGCGAAAGCCUGACGGAGCAACGCCGCGUGAGUGAAGAAGGUCUUCGGAUCGUAAAACUCUGUUAUUAGGGAAGAACAAAUGUGUAAGUAACUAUGCACGUCUUGACGGUACCUAAUCAGAAAGCCACGGCUAACUACGUG
This 497-nucleotide ribosomal RNA is filed under the name uncultured bacterium. RNAcentral's name for it is "partial 16S ribosomal RNA". It matches the Rfam family "Bacterial small subunit ribosomal RNA", at positions 28 to 507 of the family's 1533-position model. The record is from RNAcentral.